RNAcentral lists this ribosomal RNA (558 nucleotides) under uncultured Glomus. RNAcentral describes it as "eukaryotic LSU rRNA". The stretch from base 156 to 309 matches the Rfam family "5.8S ribosomal RNA". Lineage: Eukaryota; Fungi; Glomeromycota; Glomeromycetes; Glomerales; Glomeraceae. The record is from RNAcentral.
GGAAGUAAAAGUCGUAACAAGGUUUCCGUAGGUGAACCUGCGGAAGGAUCAUUACUGAUUUAGCGAACCGAGCGUUAGCGAGGUUUUGCGAUCAACUUGUAUUUAAAACCCACUCUUUAAUGUAUAAAAUUUGUAUUAAUGAUAAAUUAAAAGAUCACUUUCAACAACGGAUCUCUUGGCUCUCGCGUCGAUGAAGAACGUAGCGAAGUGCGAUAAGUAAUGUGAAUUGCAGUAUUCCGUGAAUCAUCGAAUCUUUGAACGCAUAUUGCACUUUCUGGUAUUCCGGAAAGUAUGCCUGUUUGAGGGUCAGUUAAAUAAAAAUCGGUGUUGUUGCUGCCUUUCGUGGUGACGCGUCGGAAUUGAGUUGUCUUACCUUCGGUUAAGUGACUUAAAAUUUUGUAUGAUUUUUGAACGUAUUUAAAUUUAUUUGUACGCUUAAGAUAUCGAAUAUUUAUUAGGUUCGGUCAUUCUGACGACUCGCGCCUAUAAUUUUCCAUUAAAUGACCUCAAAUCAGGUAAGAAUACCCGCUGAACUUAAGCAUAUCAAUAAGCGGAGGA